UUGACCUCGGAUCAGGUAGGGAUACCCGCUGAACUUAAGCAUAUCAAUAAGCGGAGGAAAAGAAACCAACAGGGAUUGCCUCAGUAACGGCGAGUGAAGCGGCAACAGCUCAAAUUUGAAAGCUGCCAACAGGCCGCAUUGUAAUUUGUAGAGGAUGCUUUGGGGGUUGGCCCGGUCUAAGUUCCUUGGAACAGGACGUCAUAGAGGGUGAGAAUCCCGUAUGUGACCGGUGCCCGCACCCGUGUAAGCUCCUUCGACGAGUCGAGUUGUUUGGGAAUGCAGCUCAAAAUGGGUGGUAUAUUUCAUCUAAAGCUAAAUAUUGGCCAGAGACCGAUAGCGCACAAGUAGAGUGAUCGAAAGAUGAAAAGCACUUUGGAAAGAGAGUUAAACAGUACGUGAAAUUGUUGAAAGGGAAGCGCUUGCAAUCANACUUGCGGGCGGUCGAUCAUCCGGGGUUCUCCCCGGUGCACUCGUCCGCCCUCAGGCCAGCAUCGGUUUCGGUGGUGGGAUAAAGGCCUUGGGAAUGUGGCUCCUUCGGGAGUGUUAUAGCCCUCGGUGCAAUGCCGCCUACCGGGACCGAGGACCGCGCUUCGGCUAGGAUGCUGGCGUAAUGGUUGUAAGCGACCCGUCUUG
This 633-nucleotide ribosomal RNA is filed under the name Vibrissea filisporia. RNAcentral describes it as "eukaryotic LSU rRNA". It matches the Rfam family "Eukaryotic large subunit ribosomal RNA", at positions 1 to 656 of the family's 3401-position model. Lineage: Eukaryota; Fungi; Ascomycota; Leotiomycetes; Helotiales; Vibrisseaceae. The record is from RNAcentral.